AAUCAACGCUGGCGGCGUGCCUCAGACAUGCAAGUCGAACGAUUAAGACUUCCUUCGGGAAGUGCAUAAAGUGGCGCACGGGUGAGUAACACGUAAGUAAUCUACCCUCGAGUGGGGAAUAACGUUCGGAAACGGACGCUAAUACCGCAUAACGCAGCGGCACCGCAAGGUGACAGUUGUUAAAGGAGCAAUCCGCUUGAGGAGGAGCUUGCGGCAGAUUAGCUAGUUGGUAAGGUAAUGGCUUACCAAGGCUACGAUCUGUAUCCGGUCUAAGAGGACGGUCGGACACACUGACACUGAAUAACGGGUCAGACUCCUACGGGAGGCAGCAGUCGGGAAUUUUGGGCAAUGGGCGAAAGCCUGACCCAGCAACGCCGCGUGAAGGAUGAAGUAUUUCGGUAUGUAAACUUCGAAAGAAUAGGAAGAAUAAAUGACGGUACUAUUUAUAAGGUCCGGCUAACUACGUGCCAGCAGCCGCGGUAAGUCUCGCGUGA
Molecule: ribosomal RNA, 494 nt
Filed under: uncultured bacterium
Lineage: Bacteria
Description: bacterial SSU rRNA
Rfam family: Bacterial small subunit ribosomal RNA
Source: RNAcentral